This 253-nucleotide ribosomal RNA is filed under the name uncultured bacterium. RNAcentral describes it as "partial 16S ribosomal RNA". It matches the Rfam family "Bacterial small subunit ribosomal RNA", at positions 524 to 776 of the family's 1533-position model. The record is from RNAcentral.
UACGUAGGGGGCUAGCGUUGUCCGGAAUCAUUGGGCGUAAAGCGCGUGUAGGCGGUCCGGUAAGUCCGCUGUGAAAGUCGGGGGCUCAACCCUCGAAUGCCGGUGGAUACUGUCGGGCUAGAGUGCGGAAGAGGCGAGUGGAAUUCCUGGUGUAGCGGUGAAAUGCGCAGAUAUCAGGAGGAACACCCGUAGCGAAGGCGGCACUCUGGGCCGGUACUGACGCUGAGGAGCGAAAGCGUGGGGAGCAAACAGG